CUCUCGUUAUCCUCUCCGACGAAAGAAGAGGGUUCUCUUCACUUCUGUCUCCGGUGAGCUCUCCUCUGGGACAGGCUCCUUCCGUUUCGUCAUCUCCACCUCAACUCGCCGUCGUCUGUCAUACAAAAAAACCCUAAAUCCGAUUUCACUUUUGUCAAAAUCCACCUUUCAAUCUAAGAAAAUUGAACCUGGAUGUUUCAGACAGAACAUAAUUGGCGUUACUAUCUAUGCUUCCUUAGGAGAGGAUGCUUUGAUUUACUCACUCAAUGUGGUUGGUGUGUAAGUUUGUUUUUGUUACGUGAAUUACAGGGAUGUUUCAGACAAACCAAUGCCUCGAGGGGAGAUUGUGGUAGGUGAUAACAGUGUAACAGCAGGUUACUUCAACAAUCAAGCAAAAACCGAUGAGGUUUACAAGCAUCAUACGGAGCAUUAGAGAAAUGGGGCAGAUCAAGCAGGAGUUAAAUACAGCUACUUCUCUGAGCUAUGCGAGAACGGUGAUGCAGUAAACGAGGUUCAACAAUCUCUUACCAAGGCGGCAAAGCUAGAAAAGUUUGAAAUUCCAACAAAGAUAAAGUUAUUGCCAGAGCCGUGGACAUCAGAGUCGGGACUAGCACAGCUGCUCUCAAGAUAAAGAGGGAGAAAAUAAAGGCCAAGUUCAAAGAUGAACUCCACAAGCUGUAAAAAGUCUUUUAUAUUACUUAUGAGUUGUGACAAACUUCGUAUACUUAGGGUUUUGACUUUACUUUUACUAAUAAAGUUUGAUCAUGAUGGGGUUGUUUUCUCCCUUUUUAAUACAAUAAUUUUCAUUCCAACUUGAUAUAACGGAGCAAUUU
This is a long non-coding RNA of Brassica napus (rape), 833 nucleotides long. RefSeq lists it as uncharacterized. The transcript is spliced from 3 exons. Lineage: Eukaryota; Viridiplantae; Streptophyta; Magnoliopsida; Brassicales; Brassicaceae. The record is from RefSeq and is a predicted model, not a curated record.